ACUGAACGCUGGCGGCAUGCUUUACACAUGCGAGUCGAACGGCAGCGCGGGCUUCGGCCUGGCGGCGAGUGGCGAACGGGUGAGUAAUACAUCGGAACGUGCCCAGUAGUGGGGGAUAGCUCGGCGAAAGCCGGAUUAAUACCGCAUACGACCUGAGGGUGAAAGCGGGGGAUCUUCGGACCUCGCGCUAUUGGAGCGGCCGAUGGCAGAUUAGCUAGUUGGUGGGGUAAAGGCCUACCAAGGCGACGAUCUGUAGCUGGUCUGAGAGGACGACCAGCCACACUGGGACUGAGACACGGCCCAGACUCCUACGGGAGGCAGCAGUGGGGAAUUUUGGACAAUGGGCGAAAGCCUGAUCCAGCAAUGCCGCGUGUGUGAUGAAGGCCUUCGGGUUGUAAAGCACUUUUGGCGGGAACGAAAAGGAUUGUGCCAAUACCACGGUUCGAUGACGGUACCCGCAGAAUAAGCACCGGCUAACUACGUG
RNAcentral lists this ribosomal RNA (484 nucleotides) under uncultured bacterium. RNAcentral's name for it is "partial 16S ribosomal RNA". It matches the Rfam family "Bacterial small subunit ribosomal RNA", at positions 30 to 507 of the family's 1533-position model. The record is from RNAcentral.